This 417-nucleotide ribosomal RNA is filed under the name uncultured bacterium. Its description in RNAcentral is "bacterial SSU rRNA". It matches the Rfam family "Bacterial small subunit ribosomal RNA", at positions 362 to 776 of the family's 1533-position model. The record is from RNAcentral.
UAUUGGUCAAUGGGCGGGAGCCUGAACCAGCCAAGUCGCGUGAGGGAAGACGGUCCUACGGAUUGUAAACCUCUUUUGCCGGGGAGCAGCGCGGCGGCCGUGUCCGCCGUUUGAGAGUACCCGGCGAAACAGCAUCGGCUCACUCCGUGCCCUCAGCCGCGGUAAUACGGAGGAUGCGAGCGUUAUCCGGAUUUAUUGGGUUUAAAGGGUGCGUAGGCGGGCUUUUAAGUCAGCGGUAAAAAUUCGGGGCUCAACCCCGUCCGGCCGUUGAAACUGGGGGCCUUGAGUGGGCGAGAAGAAGGCGGAAUGCGUGGUGUAGCGGUGAAAUGCAUAGAUAUCACGCAGAACCCCGAUUGCGAAGGCAGCCUUCCGGCGCCCUACUGACGCUGAGGCACGAAAGUGCGGGGAUCGAACAGG